RNAcentral lists this long non-coding RNA (2448 nucleotides) under Olea europaea subsp. europaea. Lineage: Eukaryota; Viridiplantae; Streptophyta; Magnoliopsida; Lamiales; Oleaceae. The record is from RNAcentral.
AACGUAUUAGUGAUAAUGGUUUAAGUCUUAAAUCUUUCACUUUAUAUAUUUAUGUGUUUGAAAAAUAUGUUAGUUGGUUGGAAGACUAAAAAGCCAUUAUCACUAAAAAAUUGUUAAUACUUUAUACAUAGUUGAAAAGUUCAAUUAGUUGGUUAAAAGACUAAAAAGUCAAAGUUGAAAGAGACAAAAUUCGGUUCAAAUACCAUAAAAAUAAAGAAAAUCUGAUACCCUUUCAUUUCUUUGUAUUUUCUCUUUCAUAUACGAUUUCUUAAUUCGUCCCAACAUAACUUUCUAGAACCGGUCUAAGUAAUGUGCGCAUUACAAAGUUCAUGAUGCAGAAUGCAUUUGAUUCAUCCUAUUGGUUUGGCUUGGCUCACGUGAAAUAAGUAGCUUCCAAAUAAAUGUAAGAAUUCCCAACGAACCCCCAAUUCUGUCUUUUUUUGUUAGCCUAUCCAUAAUUCCUAAUAGAAAUAUAUAAACGAAACUUGAAUUAGAAUUAUUCUAGUUAACAUAGAAUCAAAAGUACAACCCUUGAAUCUCUGAAUUUGUAUAAGUGGAAAUUCGCUUUUUAUCAUUCAAUGAACAUCAACUAUUUCAUAAGAAUUGGGGACAAUAUAAUCCUUACAUGAGGUUCAUCCCAUCCAACUUUCAGGCACUAUGAUAUGUUUCAAGCGUGGAUGAUUAUCAUAAGAGAUUCCCAACAUAUCAUAAGAUUCUCAUUUUUGAAAAUCCACACUUUUCCAAACCUAGAAAAUGGACCGAAUUCUAGGAUUCCUCCUUAAGGCAAAAACUGUUAUCCAUACUUCUUCUGGUUGAUCCACACCAUACUCUAUUCUUGUAAGAUGAUACAUAUUAGCUAACAGUCCAUCAAGUGCUGUAUCAUAGGCACAUUAGGAGUGUAGAUAAUUGUAACCAUAUACAUAUAAAAUGACAGCAAUGGAAUGCCAGUCCUUGGGCUUUAUUUGUAAAGUCUCUAUUCCAGAUAAUGAAAUCCCAAAGAUCUAUGAAUUGGUCCAUGUUUGACUAACCAAACAGACAAAUGACCAUGCAUCUUUUUUAUCUCCCACAUUUUCAGCUAGAAUAUUUCACAUUCUCGAUCAAAUUUAUGAAGAUUCACCCACUACUUGUUAUUCUGUACAAUACAAAGGAAUCUUAUCUAAUUCACUAAUUUGAGAGAAGAUAUUGAAUUUUUAUAUUUGAAAAAGUUUUCAGUAGGGAUCUCUGAAGUAGAUGGCGAUUGAUAAAGGAAUCACUGAUCAUAAUUUGUAGUAUUCAUAAUACAUCCAACAUGAAACUUGUGAUUGGUAGUAAAACACCGAUUUUUUUGUUGAGACCUAAUUCUAUCUUCAUAGAUUUCUCGAGAUAUUUUCUUAUGAAGCUUUGUUAUAGCAUCUAUAAUUGCUUCCGGUGUAGGUGGACAACUUGGCUAAUAGACAUCCACAAGAAUUAGCUUAUCGACUACCCAAACAGUACUAUAAGAAUCAGUACUGAACAUCCCUCCUGUAAUUGUACAGGCUCCCAUAACAAUAACAUAUUUUUGUUCGGUCUCAUAUAAUCUUACUAAAGAUGUGCCAUUUUCAUUGUUAUUGUCCCGGCUGUUAAAAUUAGAUCUGCUUGUCUAGGACUCGAUCUUGGUACUAAUCUAUAACGAUCAAAGUCGAAUCAUGAUCCUAUUAGUGAAGCAAAUUUAAUAAAACAACAACUAGUAUCACAGAAAAGUGACCAUAAACUAGAGAGCCUCGACCAAUUUGAAAGAUCAUUUAAUGUAGUUGAGAUAACUGAAUUUUGGACUAUUUGAUCAAGUAAAGGAAACUCAAUGGAAUUCAUAACUUUUUCAAUCUUUUUUUUCCCUUUUGUUUUUAUUGUCUGAAUAUUCAGGAGCUAAAACCAUUCCAAUGCCCCCUUUCGUCGUGCAUAAACUAAACCAACAAUUAAGAUAAGUGUGAAAAUUAUAGCUUCUAUAGAAACAAAUACACCCAAUAUAUCGAAACUCAUUGCCUAUGGAUAAAGAAAAACCAUUUCAACAUCAAAAACAACAAAACAAUAGCAAACAUAUAAUAAUGGAUUCGAAAUUGUAACCAAGCGUUGCCGAUUGGUUCUAUACCCGAUUCAUAACUAGAAAGUUUCUCUGGCCUUUUCCUAAUCGGGGCUAAAAUCUCGAAAAUCAAAAAUAUCUAAAUAGGAAUAAGACUUGAUAUUAUUAGAAAUGCCCAAAAAAAUAUCAUAUUCGUAAAGCAAAAACAUAGACGCACUCCUAUGAACAUGGAAAAUAUACCUGAUGGAUCGAUUCGAAUUGAAAUUGUCAAGUCAUCCAUAACUGUUUAGUCAAAACAAGAAUUCAUUUUGACCAAACCAUCUAGUUUUCUUUGUUUAUUGCAGGGCAUAUCUCAUUUCAAGAUUCAUUGACUGGCUUGAUUGGAAUCCUAUUAAGAGUCUAUUUAUUUAUUU